Bos indicus x Bos taurus (hybrid cattle) is the source of this 387-nucleotide long non-coding RNA. The record is from Ensembl. Lineage: Eukaryota; Metazoa; Chordata; Mammalia; Artiodactyla; Bovidae.
UAGAUAUCGUUAGUUUAGCUUCUCAUUAUAUAUUAUGUUGAUUUUGUUUUCCUGUUUUUUUCCUCUAGAGAAAAUUUGGAAUUCAUUAAUAUAAAAAGAAAUAGGAAGUGUGGUUCAACACUUGGACCAUAAAGAAGGCUGAGCACCAAAGAAUUGAUACUUUUGAACUGUGAGGCUGGAGAAGACUCUAGAGAGUCCGUUGGACAACAAGGAGAUUAAACCAGUCAAUCCUAAAGGAAAUUAAUCCUGAAUAUUCACUGGAGGGCUGAAGCUCCAACACUUUGGCCACCUGAUGUGAAGAGCUGACUCAUUGGAAAAUGUCCUGACACUGGGAAAGAUUGAGGUAAAGAGGUGAAGGGGACAACAGAGGAUGAGAUGUUUUGGAUG